RNAcentral lists this long non-coding RNA (237 nucleotides) under Elaeis guineensis (African oil palm). RNAcentral describes it as "long non-coding RNA (EGUI_LNC053757)". The record is from RNAcentral. Lineage: Eukaryota; Viridiplantae; Streptophyta; Magnoliopsida; Arecales; Arecaceae.
UUUUUCUAGAGUUCUUCUCCUACUCUUCUUUUCCUCCUUUAGAUGACUUCAUCCUUUAGAGUAUCUAAGGUUCUUAAAGAAAAAAGAAGAGAUUAGCUGUUGAAGUUUCUUACAGGCUAGCACCUCCAAGCCCCUGAUUUGCGUCAGUCUUCGUGUGGAUUUUCUCGUAGAGGCCAGACGACUUUGUGUGGCUAUGAGUGAUCUGAGGAAUAUCUUCUCCAAAUGUUGGACCAGCAA